Priapulus caudatus is the source of this 477-nucleotide long non-coding RNA. RefSeq lists it as uncharacterized. The transcript has 4 exons. The record is from RefSeq and is a predicted model, not a curated record. NCBI's taxonomy places the organism in Eukaryota, Metazoa, Priapulida, Priapulimorpha, Priapulimorphida, Priapulidae.
GCUCUACAUAUGUUCGAUGAGUCGCGAUAGUAUUUUAGAGUGGACGAGAACAAUGGAGAUGUCAUUCUGAAGGAAUCCUUUAUCACAGUCCCGGCACAGACGCAGCAGAUCGCUGUGCAGGCGACCGACCAAGGUCCGGCCGACCGUCCGACCGCGCCAGGCUACUGUGAAGUCACGAUCUCCGUCUACGACCCCACGGGAGGCAAGCUGCCGCCCGUCUGGAUCGACACGCCCGCGCAGCCAAUCGCGCUCGAGGAGAACGUGCCGCUGCGGGAUGCUGUCUUGCAGCUGUCCGUCGACGCGCGCGGCAACGUCGAGUUUCCCGAGCUGUACGGCGCGAUCACGAACACGAACGCCGAUCAUCAGUUCCGCUUCACACCUGACGACAACAAGGAUUACUCCGGCACGCUGCGCGUCGAGGCCAACACCCUCGACUACAACACCGUCAACGUCUACCAGGUGCCCGUGAGGGCCUAC